Molecule: unclassified non-coding RNA, 670 nt
Filed under: Hevea brasiliensis (rubber tree)
Lineage: Eukaryota; Viridiplantae; Streptophyta; Magnoliopsida; Malpighiales; Euphorbiaceae
Source: RNAcentral
AUAGACUCAAAAUCAAAGAUAGAUCUGGCAAUUGUUUAAGAAGUAUUCAUUAUUUUGAAAGAGCAUAAUGAACAUUUGGAUUGCAAAAUUGUGAAUAAUAAGAUCAGAUAAUCCUUGAACGGAUCUAUUAAUCACACAAUACAAUCUAGUAACACUUCAGAAUACUGCCUGAUGAAUAAACGGAAUAUUCCUUAUAAUCAUAUGCAUAUUGUAAACAAAGAAGACAUGGUGUAAAACCUUGAUACUUGACUUUGAAGAGUAAAAGGACUGAUACGUUCCAACAAUUCUAUAAGACAAAAAGGUUUUAAAGAUUAAAAAAAAAAAUUUCUCUUUCAUAAUGUACCCAAGGAGUGUCAUAAAAUUUAUGUUGGUGCAAUUUCAUGUAUCUUCUUCCAUUCUAGUGAUUAAGAAGUACAUCCAUGCUCAUAAUCAUCAUGUUUUAAUUAUCCUGUAAACAAAUCAACAUCAUGCAAAAUUCUGUACCAUGAAGAGAAACCUCAAGGCCACAGAAAAGCUCAAAAAGUUUACAAAGCUUGCACACACAAUAGCAUAAAUUGAAAUGAGAAUGCCAGAAUCAGAAGCUAUAAUUCUAUUUCUUCCUUUCCAAAAGCCAUACGAAUUCUAUUUCUUUCCGCCUCCAAUUUACUACACUAGCCAUCUCCAAUAAAAA